GGUUAAGUGACUAAGCGUACACGGUGGAUGCCUUGGCAGUCAGAGGCGAUGAAGGACGUAUUAACUUGCGAUAAGCCCAGAUUAGGUAGUAAAAACCACUUGAGUCUGGGAUUUCCGAAUGGGGAAACCCACUUACAUAAGUAAGUAUCGUUAUGUGAAUACAUAGCAUAACGAGGCGAACCGGGGGAACUGAAACAUCUAAGUACCCCG
Molecule: ribosomal RNA, 210 nt
Filed under: Vibrio diabolicus
Lineage: Bacteria; Pseudomonadati; Pseudomonadota; Gammaproteobacteria; Vibrionales; Vibrionaceae
Description: partial 23S ribosomal RNA
Rfam family: Bacterial large subunit ribosomal RNA
Source: RNAcentral